Molecule: non-coding RNA, 117 nt
Filed under: Nomascus leucogenys (northern white-cheeked gibbon)
Lineage: Eukaryota; Metazoa; Chordata; Mammalia; Primates; Hylobatidae
Source: Rfam by way of RNAcentral
GCCGGGCGUGGUGGCUCGUGCCUGUAAUCCCAGCACUUUGGGAGGCUGAGGCAGGCGAAUCACUUGAGGUCAGGAGUUCUAGACCAGCCUGGCCAACAUGGUGAAACCCUGUCUCUA